This 253-nucleotide ribosomal RNA is filed under the name uncultured bacterium. RNAcentral's name for it is "partial 16S ribosomal RNA". It matches the Rfam family "Bacterial small subunit ribosomal RNA", at positions 524 to 776 of the family's 1533-position model. The record is from RNAcentral.
UACAGAGGGGGCAAGCGUUAUUCGGAAUUAUUGGGCGUAAAGGGCGCGUAGGCGGCUUGGCAAGUGGAUGGUGAAAUCCCUCGGCUUAACCGAGGAACUGCCGUCCAAACUGCUUUGCUUGAGGCCGGGAGAGGCGAGUGGAAUUCCCAGUGUAGCGGUGAAAUGCUUAGAUAUGACAUAGAACACCGAUAGCGGAGGCAGCUUGCUACACAGUCAUUGACACUGAGGCACGAAAGCGUGGGGAUCAAACAGG